RNAcentral lists this ribosomal RNA (406 nucleotides) under uncultured bacterium. RNAcentral's name for it is "partial 16S ribosomal RNA". It matches the Rfam family "Bacterial small subunit ribosomal RNA", at positions 30 to 526 of the family's 1533-position model. The record is from RNAcentral.
AUUGAACGCUGGCGGCAGGCCUAACACAUGCAAGUCGAACGAGUGGCGGACGGGUGAGAAAUGUCUGGGAAACUGCCUGAUGGAGGGGGAUAACUACUGGAAACGGUAGCUAAUACCGCAUACCAUCAGAUGUGCCCAGAUGGGAUUAGCUAGUAGGUGGGGUAACGGCUCACCUAGGCGACGAUCCCUAGCUGGUCUGAGAGGAUGACAAGCCACACUGGAACUGUGCCACGGUCCAAACUCCUACGAGAGGCAGCAGUGGGGACUAUUGCACAAGGGGAGCAAGCCGGAUGCAGCCAUGCCGCGUGUAUGAAGAAGGCCUUCGGGUUGUAAAGUACUUUUAGCGGGGAGGCGUUACCCGCAGAAGAAGCACCGGCUAACACCGUGCCAGCAGCCGCGGUAAUAC